UACGAAGGGGGCUAGCGUUGCUCGGAAUGACUGGGCGUAAAGGGCGCGUAGGCGGAUGGCACAGUCAGAUGUGAAAUUCCCGGGCUUAACCUGGGGGCUGCAUUUGAUACGUGUUGUCUAGAGUGAGGAAGAGGGUUGUGGAAUUCCCAGUGUAGAGGUGAAAUUCGUAGAUAUUGGGAAGAACACCGGUGGCGAAGGCGGCAACCUGGUCCUUGACUGACGCUAAGGCGCGAAAGCGUGGGGAGCAAACAGG
Molecule: ribosomal RNA, 253 nt
Filed under: uncultured bacterium
Lineage: Bacteria
Description: partial 16S ribosomal RNA
Rfam family: Bacterial small subunit ribosomal RNA
Source: RNAcentral